CGGUUUUUUUUAUUAUUUAUUAUUACCUAUUCCUGUUGGCAGCCGGAUGAGGGGUAACGAUGUCGGCGUGAAACGCAGGAAGGCCCAGGUUCGCGUCUCGGAUCUGAUAACUCCUGAAAAUACCUUUCGGGGUGUUGGGCCCGGCUGGCUAUCCCCGUCCUUCACCAUCCGGCCCCCCUCCACGGAUGUGGGUACAGCCUGUGGUUAGAACUGCCCCGCCCGUUAGUAACCUCUCUGAUUGGAAAGGGUGUAAAAUAUGCAAAAAAAAAGCCUACUCCUGUUUUUAAUUUUUAUCCAGUGUUUGGCCCAUGAGGUUCUUGAACCACUAAACCAAACAGCUUCAGAAUUUAGUAAAAAAAAUAGCGUGAAAGUGAUUAAAAAUCUGAUUAGUUUAGUUUCAUGUUCAGGCCCUAUUUCUAUAUGUACGCAUUGCAAAACUAUUUCUAGAUUGUUUUAUGCAUUUGCAAAUAUGCUAAAAGAAAC
Molecule: long non-coding RNA, 483 nt
Filed under: Androctonus crassicauda
Lineage: Eukaryota; Metazoa; Arthropoda; Arachnida; Scorpiones; Buthidae
Source: RNAcentral